Molecule: long non-coding RNA, 3511 nt
Organism: Armigeres subalbatus
Lineage: Eukaryota; Metazoa; Arthropoda; Insecta; Diptera; Culicidae
Exons: 4
Source: RefSeq, a predicted model, not a curated record
CGUCUUGCGACUAAUUAAAGUUUGUAGAAUAUUUAUUUAGUUAAAUAGUGAAUAAGUUAUAUCACGAUUUAUGAGGCCCGUCCGAUUGAAAGGCGAUACGGGUCGUGCGAAGGAUAGGUAACCUAAAACCGCUUCCAAAAUGGGACCGGCUCGAUACAUCAACCAUCUGCGGCUGCUGCGGGUGGAGCAUACAACCUACAGUGGAUGUCCAGCAUGUUACAGUAGCUGCUGUAGUAAAUAGAAUCUUUGGCUUUGCAUCGGACAGUUUGGCGUUGCAGCAGCACCCCGUUAUUCAUCCAGGUGAAAGCUCACAUAAACUGUUGAGCCGCGAAUGAAUUGCUUACUUUUAAACAAACGGCGCAGUCUGGACCGAUUCUUCGAUGUAAAAAAACAAGAGCAGUUAGCUUGCCUCGCCUUAUGGGAAUGGGACUGCAGUGCUAAACUCCCGGAAAUAAACCGAAAAAAGCGACUGACAUAUCUUGGUUUAGUAGGCUAUGGUAUGGCCGGAAUCUAUGUUGACGAUCGUAUUCUACCGAAAUUUAUCGGAAACAUUAUUUCAAAACCGUUUGGCAAAGACAUCUCUCGGAAUAGUAGAAACUAGGACAUGACCGGUAGCGCAAACUCUGUUGAGAACCUGGCGAGCAUGCGAAAAAUAAAUGGGAACAGUGACAUCUGGAUCGCAAGAGUAAGCCAUCAGCAGGGUCUAUACGAUCGUACACGACCAAUACAUCAACCACCACCAGCUAAAUGGAUUCGGCAUUCUCCAACCUACGAGUCAGAAAAGGGUCCAUCGCCUAAGCCCAGAGAAUCGUUUGUGUAUAAUAGCGCUAGCUGGAGCUUCCAGCGCUAGCUGUAACCGAUCGCCUUGUAGAAAGAUGUAAGCUAUAUGCUAUUGGAGCUUCGACACGUGUCAAAAUUCAAGGUUAAGUGGAACCACAUAGACCAAACAAUAUCCAUCCAUCCGGCUUGAAGGAAUCUAUUAUUGAAUGCAGUAGGGAAUGAUUAGGAAAAAUAGUCUACUAGAUUUGAGCAACAAGAAAAAUAUGCGCAUAACAAAGAACAGAAGAAACGAAGGCUCCUCCGCAAGCUCGAUAUUCUAUUGACCAAUUGUUCCUGUCUUUGAGAGUACGUGUGCGUGAAAAAUAUUACCAAUGUGAAGGUAAUCUGCGACAUCCUGAUUUACAGGAUUGAAUCGAAUGGGAAGAAUGAUGGCAGAAUCACUCAGAACUCUACUAACUAAACCACCAAUAGUGAUUUAUGAAAACAACACAACCAUAUGCAGAACUCUUAACCCCCGGAGGCACAGAAGGAAAAAUCUAAAACGAUGCCGAAAGCACUGUCUCAUAUCACGAUGUUAGAAACGAACAUUCAUCGAAACUCUAAAGGGGAAAGGCAUCACUGAUCGUCCUUGGAGCUCAUCAAGAACUUUAUAUCGGUUUACUACAAAUAUAUCGCCAGUGCACUUUGACUUCAAUCAUAGACCAAUCAUUCAAUCAUAGGCCUAAUAAUCAAUCAGACCAAUCAAUCAAUUAUAGACAAUCAAUCAUAGACGAAACAAUCAAUCAUAGACCAAUAAAUUAUUAAUAAACCAAUCAAUCAAUCCCGUGAUGAACUUAUUUUUAAGAUACAAAAUCUCGUUAAUAAAGUAUUAAAAAACUCAAUCAAUCAUGGAUCAAUCAACUAUAGGCCAACCAAUAUCAAUCAUAGGGCGAUCAAUUAAUAAUAAACCAGUCAAUCAAUCAUAUACCAAUCAAUUAAUCAUAGGCCAAUCAAUCAAUCAGGUCAAGCAAUCAAUCAUAGAUCAAUCAAUCAGUCAUAAACCAAUCAAUUAAUCAUAGGCCAAUCAAUAAGUCAUAGGCCAAUCAAUUAAUCAUAGGCCAAUCAAUUAAUCAUAGGCCAAUCAAUCAAUCAUAGACCAAUAAAUCAAUCAUAGGCCAAUCAAUAUCAAUCAUAGAUCAAGCAGGGAGCCCUUCUUAGCCGUGCGGUAAGAUGCGCGGCUACCAAGCAGUACCAUGCUGUGGGUGGCUGGGUUCGAUUCCCGUCGCCGGUCUAGGCAAUUUUCGGUUUGGAAAUUGUCUCGACUUCCCUGGGCAUAAAAGUAUCAUCGUGUUAGCCUCAUGAUAUAUAAAUGCAGAAAUGGUAACUUGGCUUAGAAACCUCGCAGUUAAUAACUGUGGAAGUGAAUGAUCACUAAACUACGAUACGACAAUGCCUCAGUGAGGGAAUUAAUGCCAAUGAAGAAGAAGAAGAAGAAGAUUAAGCAAUGAAUCAUUUUAGUUCUUUAUUUAAGUGAUUUUUUAAUGUGAAAUUAAGUUCAUCACUGCAAUCAAUCAUAGGCCAAUGAAUUAAUCAUAGACCAAUCAAUCAGUCAUAAACCAAUCAAUCAAUCACAGAUCAAUCAAUCAAUCAUAGGACAAUCAAUCAAUCAUAGACCAAUCAAUCAAUCAUAGACCAAUCAAUUAUUCAUAGGCCAAUCAAUAAGUCAUAGACCAAUCAAAUAAUCAUAGGCCAAUCAAUCAAUUGUAGAUCAAUCAAUCAAUCAUAGCCCAAUCAAUUAAUCAUAAGCCAAUCAAUAAAUCAUAAACCAAUCAAUCAAUCAUAGACCAAUCAAUUAAUCAUAGGCCAAUCAAUCAAUCAUGGACCAUACAAUCAAUUAAUCAUAAGCCAAUCAAUAAAUCAUAAACCAAUCAAUCAAUCAUAGACCAAUCAAUUAAUCAUAGGCCAAUCAAUCAAUCAUAGACCAAGCAAUAAUGGGCCAACCAAUCAAUCAUAGGUCAAUCAAUCAGUCAUAGGCCAAUAAAUCAGUCAUGAAUCAAUCAAUCAUAGGGCAAUCAUAGGCAAAUCAAUCAAUCAUAAACCGAUCAAUCAAUCAAUCAAUCAUAGGCCAAUCAAUCAAUCAAUGAUAGACCAGUCAAUCGAUUAUAGGCCAAUAUAUUAUAGACCUAUCAAUCAAUCAUAGAUCAAUCAAUUAACCAUAGGACAAUCAAUCAAUCAUAGGCCAAUCAAUUAAUCAUAGACCAAUAGAUUCGUCGAUUGAUAUUUAUAUUACACUAUGGAUCUCCGGCUCCUCUAUCAAAAGUGCGUUUCGAAGUGAGUUGACACCGUAUUAUGUAUGAAAUAUAUAUUGAUUUGAAAUAAAAUAAAGUGAUUUUAAGAUAAAUCUAAAUUAAUCUUCUUCAUCUUAUUGGCAUUACAUACCCACACUGGGACAGAGCCGCCUCACAGCUUAGUGUUUAUUAAGCACUUCCACAGUUAUUAACUGGGAGGUUUCUAAGCCAUGUUACCAUUUUUGCAUACGUAUAUCAUGAGGCUAGCACGAUGAUACUUUUAUGCCCAGGGAAGUCGAGACAAUCUAAAUUAAAUUGAAGUUAAAAAGUUAAAAUGAAACGAACUUUUCACUUUCGGACUACACACAUGGACUACAUUCAAACACAAAUGCAAACUACUAAAACUAAACCAAUUUCAAUGAAACUUCAUAAAAUUUUCGUAUUGCUAAGUAACAAAUUUAAGA